RNAcentral lists this transfer RNA (89 nucleotides) under Terriglobia bacterium. RNAcentral's name for it is "tRNA-Ser". The record is from RNAcentral. Lineage: Bacteria; Pseudomonadati; Acidobacteriota; Terriglobia.
AGAGGGUGCCGGUGAAUGGUCGCCGAGCCGUCUCGAAAACGGUGGACUGGUGAUGAGCCAGUGGGGUUCGAUCCCUCCACCCUCUGCCA